UCACUUGUCUUUUAAAUGUAGACCCGUAUGAAUGGCAUGACGAAGGCUAGACUGUCUCCUUUUUCCAGUCAGUGAAAUUGAUCUCUCCGUGCAGAAGCGGAGAUAUGUACAUAAGACGAGAAGACCCUGUGGAGCUUCAGACAAUGAAUAGACCAUAUUAAACAACCAAUAAAAUCUGGAAUAAACUAGUGGCUUACUAUUCUAAUGUCUUUGGUUGGGGCGACCGUGGGGUAAGAAAAAACCCCCAUGAGGAAAGAGACACCCUCUCCAAACCAAGAUUGACAAAUCUAAGUAACAGAAUUUCUGACCUUUCACGAUCCGGUAAAAACCGAUCAACGAAUCAAGUUACCCCAGGGAUAACAGCGCAAUCCCUUCCCAGAGUACAUAUCGACGAAGGGGUUUACGACCUCGAUGUUGGAUCAGGACAUCCUAAUGGUGCAGAAGCUAUUAAGGGUUCGUUUGUUCAACGAUUAAAGUCCU
RNAcentral lists this ribosomal RNA (480 nucleotides) under Pseudotylosurus angusticeps. RNAcentral describes it as "partial 16S large subunit ribosomal RNA". It matches the Rfam family "Bacterial large subunit ribosomal RNA", at positions 1965 to 2597 of the family's 2925-position model. Lineage: Eukaryota; Metazoa; Chordata; Actinopteri; Beloniformes; Belonidae. The record is from RNAcentral.